Molecule: long non-coding RNA, 664 nt
Filed under: Homo sapiens (human)
Lineage: Eukaryota; Metazoa; Chordata; Mammalia; Primates; Hominidae
Description: non-protein coding lnc-ZFHX4-3:12
Source: RNAcentral
AGUAGAAAACCCCAGGCAGAGCUGAAGACAGUGACAGAAGGGAUUAUUGCUUCUGAAGAAGAAAAAAAAUGAUUACAAAAUCACCUAUUUUACCGUCUUUUACAACUUCGUUGUAGGAGGUGUGAAAGAGGAGGGAAAUUGUGUUGUUUGAUGGAGAGACUCAAAUUAACAAAGAACUGUGGAAUAUUUCUAGCCAAAAGCCACUGGGGAACUGAUUCCUGCCAACAACCACUGAACUUCGAAGUAGAUCCAUCAGCAACUGGACCCUCAGAUGCGACCCAUGUAUGACACCUUGAUUGGGAUCCUGUGAGAGACCCUCAGGCAGAGCACCUAGUUAAGUCAAACUCAGAUCGCUGACUCCCAGAAACUGUAAGAUUGUGAUAAAUGUUUUGGAGGAAAAUAGAAAGAAGGCUGUGGUUUGAAACGUCUCAACAAACUUCCAAUCAUGCAAAACUUGAGGGAACGAGGAACAGCAAAGCUUGGCACUUUGGAAGCUUGAUAACAUCACAGCAUGGAAGAAAAGUGGAAGGAAGUUAUCACAAAGGAAUAACAAACAACGUGCUCUCCUUAAGCCAUCCUGACUACUCUAACAUCCUGCUUCCACUAAAAAUACUGACGGCCAAAUUCACAAAUAAGAGACAAGAUGGAAACUGAUUGAUUUCAC